Molecule: long non-coding RNA, 573 nt
Organism: Oncorhynchus tshawytscha (Chinook salmon)
Lineage: Eukaryota; Metazoa; Chordata; Actinopteri; Salmoniformes; Salmonidae
Source: Ensembl
ACAUAGCUACACGUGUUAGACUGUGUGUAUGUGGGGAGGGGGGGGUCUGGAAAGACAUGACUGACACACAGCUACACGUGUUAGACUGUGUGUAUGUGGGGAGGGGGGGGGUCUGGAAAGACAUGACUGACACACAUAGCUACACGUGUUAGACUGUGUGUAUGUGGGGGUCUGGAAAGACAUGACUGACACACAUAGCUACACGUGUUAGACUGUGUGUAUGUGGGGAGGGGGGGGGUCUGGAAAGACAUGACUGACACACAGCUACACGUGUUAGACUGUGUGUAUGUGGGGGGGGGGGGGGUCUGGAAAGACAUGACUGACACACAUAGCUACACGUGUUAGACUGUGUGUAUGUGGGGGGGGGGGUCUGGAAAGACAUGACUGACACACAUAGCUACACGUGUUAGACUGUGUGUAUGUGGGGAGGGGGGGGUCUGGAAAGACAUGACUGACACACACAGCUACACGUGUUAGACUGUGUGUAUGUGGGGAUGAUGGGGGGGUCUGGAAAGACAUGACUGACACACAGCUACACGUGUUAGACUGUGUGCUAUGUGUGUGUAUGGGGGA